Gopherus flavomarginatus (Mexican gopher tortoise) is the source of this 1874-nucleotide long non-coding RNA. RefSeq lists it as uncharacterized. The record is from RefSeq and is a predicted model, not a curated record. NCBI's taxonomy places the organism in Eukaryota, Metazoa, Chordata, Testudines, Testudinidae. The transcript has 3 exons.
AGAGCUCAGGCUGCUCUUGAUAUUUCUGGAGAUGAAUGUUCCCCGUACGCAGUGAGCAGCAGCAGCAAAGACUUUCAAAGAAAUGAAGUGUUGUAUUCACUUGCAACGAGCCCAUAUGAGGACCCAAAUGCAGCCUAUUGUACAGUGGAUAACACUGCAGCAUCUAGCAAGGGGACAGGAGAUGAAAUUCAUACAGUCUAUGCAGUGGUGCCACAAUAGCUGUUCCUGAGCUGGAGAAUGGAUGUCGGUUUGAAAAUGACUAUCAACUUUUGGCUGAUUUUAGGGGGGAAAAAACCAACGUAGUAGCCUUGACUACCCAUUUUUGACUAUUCAAUGAGCUAUAUUACAAAAUAUUAUGGAGCAGGUCCUCUACUGGUAUAAAUUCUCAUAUCUCCAUUAUGAAGCUAUGACAGUUUGCACCAGAGGAACAUAGGAAUUGUAACACUCAGACCAUUGGUUCAUUUAGUUCAGAAUCCUAUCUCCAGCAGUGGCCUUCACCAGGUGUGUCAGAAGCAGAUGCAAGUGUCCCCAUAAUGGACAAUUAUGGCACAACUUGCUCACAGGGGAAGUUUCUUCUCAACACCUAUCAGCUACAGAUUGGCUAUACCCUGAACGAAGAGGGUUUUAUAGCCCUCAUACAUCUUAUCCUAUCUAAUGUAACUUUAUCCUUAGUGUAUGAAAAUCUUUAUAAAUGAACGAUUGCUUUAGGAACAAAGAUCUUUAUUUUGCUUCAGUUUUACAUUGGUGUAAUUCUGUUGGCUCCAUUGGAGAUACUCCUGCUUUACAUUGGUGUAAGUGAGAAAAGGAUCAGAUACUUAGACACUCAGGUAUGAUUACUAGAGUAGGAAGAAUCAGUUAAGGACACUAUUAGUCCCUACUGUAAGUUUUUCUUCUUUAAAACAGGCACAUUGGAUAUAAUGUUGUGAAGGGAGACUGGGGUCCUUUAUGUAUCUCCAGAAAAGGUGCAGCACAAACCAUGUUCCAGGAAUCAGGGCCGGCAGCAGGGCCACUCUCCUAGUAACCUAACAAAAACAGUUGUCCUGUAGUUGGCUGCCUGAUUGACUACACCGCCUGAUUGGUUUGAAGAGUCAGCAGCCCAGCACUUAAGCCCAGCAGCAGUUCAGUGUCUCUUCAAAUCACGUACUCAUGGCUGAGCUAGCUCCUGUGUGUGUUUGUUCUAGCCCUGCCCCACUUCCACUAGGCAUGACUGCCCAUGCCCUGGCCACUGACACCAUGGCAGUGCCACUGUCCUCACAUAAGCUUUUUAGUCAUCACAAAGCUGAGAGGAACCUCUGCUAGGAUGAGAGGAUAGGUGUAUCUCUGUGCAUAUUUAAAUCUUAAAUCCACUGGAAUGUCUAUAUUCUCCAUUUACUUUCCCCUGCCCACCUCAAAAGCUUGACACUGAGUGAAGUGAUCCUCUUUCAAGGGUCUGUUGGCUCCAUUCUGGAUGCUCAGAUGGGAUGUCUUUGCAGGGGUGCUGGAACAAUUUGUAUAGUGGGGGUGCUGAAAGCCAUUGAACCAAACUGUAAACCUUGUAUAUAAUGGAAACUACUACUCCUUCAAGCCGGGGGAGUGGCUGCACCCCAGGCACCUCUAGUUCCAGCACCUAUGUGUCUUUGUAGUGUUCCCAUCCCUUGCUGGUCUGGGUAGGGUGACCAGAUAACAAGUGUGAAAAAUUGGGACACUUUAUUUUUUGGAGGAGUGGCCUAUAGUUGCCUGUAUAAGAAAAAUCCCCUAAUAUCGAGCUGUCUAGUUACCCUAGGUAUGGGGAAUUUCGGGCCUGAACUUGGACACUGUGGUGCAUUGCAUAGCUACAAGCUCACCCAGAUGGCUUUGGUGGUGCAUUCUGGAAUAAAAUAGGCUGUGACCUACAA